RNAcentral lists this long non-coding RNA (1357 nucleotides) under Pandoravirus neocaledonia. Its description in RNAcentral is "hypothetical ncRNA". The record is from RNAcentral.
GAUUGAUUCGUUUGCCGGCGCGCGCGCACGUCACGCUGCCGUCGGAGCGUCGAGAGACCAGGAGGGGCACCCGACCGGACGGAAACCGCAGGCGAGGGGUGCGAGCGGGUUGGACCUUGUCGUCGUUGUCGAUGGUGAGGUCCAUGCGCAGGGGCACACGCGGAGGAAACGGCCCCGCGCAGUACCACACGACGUCGUCGACAGUGACGUCCGCGGUCGAACGCGACCACGCGUGUGCCCACAAGGUGCGGCCAUCGGCGUCGGCCAGCAUGAGCGCCAGCGUCACGUCCGUCUCGUUGAAAUAGCGUGGGCCAUCUGUGUAAAGGCAGGCCGUGUGUCUCGGCGGCGAGGCCGAAAUGCGGCAGGGCCACAUGUAGGCGCCCAUCGGACGCGCGUAUCGAGGCCGCGAACCAGAGUCGGCGGGAUCGUGCCAAAAGCGCGGUCCGUUGUAUGCGUUCGACGGGCCAACGAUCGACGCUCGGUAGGCGGCUCCGACACCAAAGGCCUCGACAAACGUCGGGGGAACAUGCCGGCACGUUUGUAGGCCUUUGUCGUCAUUGCCAGAGCGUCCGACCGAUGGCAAAGGAUCGACGUCGUCGUAGAGCGUACCUCGGCCGCGUGUCUCGGCCGCCGAGCGAGCGAUGCGCGCACAGCACGCUGCCAGCGCUCGGCCGAUGGGCAUGGCCCAGGACGGCACGGCCUCGGGCGCGCUCGUCGGAUCGCUGCGGCCCGCGGCCGGGUCCACAGUCUCUGACGGAACGGCAUCGUCGGGCACGUCCAACGCGGCGAGUCCUCUGGUGAAAAACGCUGGGUCGGACACGACGUCCGUGGUGACGCCGUGGCACAGAUGGUCAAAGCGGCAGCGGCCCACAUGUAGGUCGUAGAGCCGAGCGCAGAGGCGCGGGUCCGACGCCACACGGCGCCAAUCCCUUGAUACGGAGGCCAGGCGCGCGAGAUCGACCAAACUACAGUAGCGCGCGAUGUGCAGGCGAAUCUCGUCCGAGAGCCACGCGACCGGGGAUAGGGUCGGUACGCAAGAAUCGUCGUACAGCCUGUCGACGGCGUGCGUGUUUUGUAGAUCCAUGUCGGACCAUGACGAGGAGGGGCAUUCGGUGCGCGCACGCUUGGGAAGCAGGGCUCGGUCUUUGUCGCGAGACUCUUGGCGGCCGUCCUCGCAUACUGUCUCGGCGCGCCGCCCGUCGCCAAAGUCGCGUGAUCUCUUGGUGCCCGAUGGCGUCGAGCGUUGAAUAGGCAGACAGGCGACCAUGCAGUCCUGGCUGUUGAUGUCGUCACCAUCGGCGUGGACCGCAUCUCUCCUCACACACACCUCCAUUGGGGUGUUUCUUUUUUUUUUUUU